Non-coding RNA from Myotis davidii, 76 nucleotides. The record is from Rfam. Lineage: Eukaryota; Metazoa; Chordata; Mammalia; Chiroptera; Vespertilionidae.
GGCAGUUCUCAGAUGACACAUUCCAAAAUCAGGCUCCCUCCUCUCUGGUUCCUGGGUGUGUCACCCGAGAAAUGCC